This 1659-nucleotide long non-coding RNA is filed under the name Nicotiana tabacum (common tobacco). RNAcentral's name for it is "long non-coding RNA (NTAB_LNC010831)". The record is from RNAcentral. Lineage: Eukaryota; Viridiplantae; Streptophyta; Magnoliopsida; Solanales; Solanaceae.
AAUCAAUCACUCAGUUUAUAUUUUAGUUUUGAAACCAUUCAAAGUGAUUAUGUCCUCUGUUUCUCAUUGAGAUAGCUAGAAUGGGUUUUUGAUUUUUGUUUGGGCCCUGGGGUCAAUUCUGACCCCUUUUUCAAGAAUAGCCCAUUCGUUUGGGUUUAUGUCUUGGGUCAAUUUGACCCGUUUGGUUUCAGGGGUAAAAACAGAAGGUUUAAGUGGUAGUCUAGGGAUUUUAAGUAGGAGAAUCAUUUGUAAUUGAUUUGGGAAACUUCUUGGAAGGUGGGUUUGGGGUUGUUUUGAAAAACUGACUUUAAAUUAUGGACAUAGGAGCAAAAACGAAAAUUCCAAAAGGAGUAAAGGGCAAAAGUCUGAACUCAUUCUGCUGCCCUAAAACUUCGCUAUAAAAGGGAACUUACUUCUGAACCAAGUUAGAUUUUUUAGGGAGAAUUUUUCAGAGAUUAAAAUACUGAAAUUUAGAAAAACAGCUAAGUCUUCAAAAUACUGAAAUCCAUUAUAAUUUCUGGUGGGAAUUGGUUGAGCUUCCUAUUGGUUCUAGUAUUUGAAAGUUACAAGGAAUUUCUGGGGUUAUUUUCGAGUCUAAAUUGGGUUUCAAGGCUGGUUGAUUUGCUAAACUGAACUUGCUCCUGCUGCUUCUAUUUGAACUCCCAGCUCAUUUUUUCUUGUUGUUUUGCUGUUGUAGCCAGGUAUUCAUCACUUCCUUGACAUGUGAAAUGGAAGAACACGAAGUUAUUUGAUUGAGCUGAAAAUCUAUGGCAUACCAGUCUGUUAAAUGUUAUUUUCUACAUUCCUGAAAUCAUUAGAUUCUAUAAUUAACUUAAUUUUCUUCGUUAUGUUUGCUCUUUUUUCUAUUUUAGUUUUAAGUUCUGUUUGUAAUGUUGGACAAAUCAUUAGCUCUAGCCACUUAAUUUAAAUGAGUUGAACUUGUGUUUAUAUGAAUGGACUGUUAAGGUUACUACAGUAGAAUGUUCAGUCGAUUUACAUGUGUUUUAGACCUGUUUUAGUUUUGCUGAAACCAGUGUUUGUUUUGGUGUUGAUUUCUGCUUGAACUUGCUAAAAAUGACAAGUAUAAGCUGGAGACUAAAAACUUUCAAUUGGAAUACAUACCAAUAAGAGUAGUGUGCUAUUUGAAGUCAUGUAGUACUUUUAUUUCAUGAAAUGGUCAGUUGAUUUGUUUCCAAGCCAAUAGUCAGUAUGCAUUCAUUUUAGACAAAGGAAUUUCUCUGGGUUAUUACCUUAAGGGUCGAGCCCUACACUGAAUUACCCCCGGAUUUUUGUGUAAGCAUGUUCAAUUUGAGAUUGUUGUUUAAAUUCAGACUUGUUUACUUGACAGUCUCAUGAGAUUUGAUUUGCUAUUGUAUGUGUUGAAAAGGGGCUCAAUUAAAGUUGAAACCUCACACAAAUUGUCUAUUGAGUUAAUUGGAGACUGAGUUGAAUUUGAUUGUCGUGCAGUUUGUGUAUUGUUGUAAGCCAGCUGGGCUCGUGUCAAAGCCUCUGAGUUUUGGAUAUUUUUACAUGCCAUGGAGACUCGAUCUCGAAUCUAGCAUUCUCUGACCCCCCUAGCCUUGAAAGAUUUAGGUCAUUUUUUGGGCCUAAACCCUGAGGCUACGGGGAAUGGGAAUUAUAGGCCACAUCAUGCUUGGG